GUCCUAGCCGUAAACGAUGGGCACUAGGUGUGGGAGGUAUUGACCCCUUCCGUGCCGCAGCUAACGCAUUAAGUGCCCCGCCUGGGGAGUACGGCCGCAAGGUUGAAACUCAAAGGAAUUGACGGGGCCCGCACAAGCGGUGGAGCAUGUGGUUUAAUUCGACGCAACGCGAAGAACCUUACCAGGACUUGACAUCCCGCGAAUCUCUUCGAAAGAGAGAGUGCCCGCAAGGGAGCGCGGAGACAGGUGGUGCAUGGCUGUCGU
This 264-nucleotide ribosomal RNA is filed under the name uncultured bacterium. RNAcentral's name for it is "partial 16S ribosomal RNA". It matches the Rfam family "Bacterial small subunit ribosomal RNA", at positions 793 to 1055 of the family's 1533-position model. The record is from RNAcentral.